Molecule: long non-coding RNA, 3011 nt
Organism: Oryzias melastigma (Indian medaka)
Lineage: Eukaryota; Metazoa; Chordata; Actinopteri; Beloniformes; Adrianichthyidae
Exons: 2
Source: RefSeq, a predicted model, not a curated record
AUAUUUUAUUCAUAAAGUGAUCGUGCGUAAAGUUCCUGCUGGAGUCUCCAUUUUUAGGGCCCGUGGACGCAUCUGACAAUUUCUCUUCAACUCAAUUUUUGUGCAGGGAGAGAAUCCAUCCCAGCAUGCUCCCUAUAUUCUGAUUUCUGCAAAAGAUAGACAGGAACAUGGGGAGGAUGUUUAUACAGUAAAAUGUAAACAUGUUCCCGGGCGUUUUUUUUUAAAUAAAAAUCACGCAAACGCCCCGUUAGAUCAGCUAAUACUCAAAUGGAUGCUCUUCUCUUCUCGUCUGUUUGCAUGCCUUCUCUGAUCACGUUGGAUUUUUUCCUCUUGGUCCUUUUUUUAACAAAUGAAUAUUGUUUGUGUAAUGCAGUCAUAAUAUUUACGCAGGGACGCUGGAGGAGUGAGGUGGAGGCUCAGCCGAGCUGGGAGCGCACAAACUCGGAUGAGGACUUGAAGUCCACUCCUGCACAUCCAGCUUGAGGCUGAAGGGGCAGGCGGCUCCAGUUUGGCCACAGGAAGCAGUGAGUUCUUCGGAGAAGGGCAGACGUCCCAAGAGGGGGGGGGGGGCUUUCUCCCCCCAUCCUCCUCCUCUAUUCACCCACUCACUACCCCAAAAUGACCCCUGACCCUUUCAUCUGUUUAUAUCAGAGCAUGGAAGUGAGAAAUAGUGAUGAGUCACUCUAGCCGUGUGUUUACACUCUGGAGUCACGCAAGGAAGGAAAUCAGCCACGGUCUGCUAAAAGUGGAGAGGUGAGAGGGCUGCUGUGAUUUACCUCUCAGGACUAGAAUUGAUUUUGCGUCAUCCCUGCUGAGAAAACGCUUCACCCCGCAGACAGCAGCUUUAGCGGCGCGGAGGACUGCGGUGAGGCCGACGGCGAGGGUCGGAGCGUAGAGUGUCAGCGGCCCGCUCACUACACCCUCCCUGCACAUUGUUUAAGGAGAUUAAACCACAAGAAAACUCACAGUAGAUCUAAAUAUUAGACAAUUCUUAUGAAUUAUUGACAGAUACGUGGCUCCAUGAUUGCCGCCUGGAAUCAGGCCCGUCUUGGAAACAUCACAUUCUGGGUUUCGUUUUGAGAAAGUGGUUUCAUUUUGAUUAUUGUACAUUUCAGACUACAAUUAUUCAUUGACUUGAGUUACAGAAAAAGCUUAAUGACGUUCACGCCCUUGUUGUGUUCAAAUGACGGCUACUUAUUUUUUUUGUUAUUUCGUUUGUUGAUUCUUUAUGACAUUCCAAGUCUGGCACCUUCAUUAAACUUCAGAUGUGUUGGCCAUAGAUUAAAAAAGAGAAACUUUUCAUAAUGAAGUGAUGAGUUGAUUGUAUGACAGAUGGGUUUCAGUGAUAUAUAUUUAUCAUGUUAGCGGCUUAGAUAAACCAGGCAAUUUAGAUUUUGACGGUUGACAUUUACUUGUAGCUCCUAAACAGUUUUGACACAACAGUUUUGCGCAUCAGGUUGUCUCUCGGUGAUUGUAUCCUAAAAAUGACGUGAUGCAUGUCAGUUCAUGGGAUUAUAACAGGUUUUUAUGUGGCGGCUGUGUAAACGGCCUUGGCACACGUGCUCCGAAGGGCCUUUUCGCUCCGUGUCAUGUGAGGCGUGUGUUUACUGCGGCCUCCGCUGCUCUCAAACACAGUGUCAUCCCCGACAAGGGAUUUUACAUUUCGUCUGGGGACGGCUAUUGUUUUCAUGAAGUCACUGCCAUGGAGUUUAGUAAAUAAAAGUGACACCGUGCUUCUUUGGUGUGAGCAGCGUCCCUGCUGACUCCAGAAAGAAGUAUCCUUUUACACACCCCCAUACGCACCGCCACAAUGAUAGAGUCGGCGGCUCUUAUUUUUGCCGAUCUCUCCUGAAUUGUAAGCACUGUCAUGGGCUUUGAUUGAUAGCUGUGUUUAUCACCAUAUUAUUAAGUAAUCAGACUCACCACAGCUGGGCCUACAGCUCCUUAAUUCCAGCUGAAGCACACAGUUUCAUGCUAAUUAAAGGUUGGCUAAAUGGCUUUUGUGAAUUUUUUAAAAUAUAGUUCUUUCUUUUUCAGCUGCUGAUUGUUGGAUUUGCAUUCUGUCUGGAGGAAUUUAGCAACAACCUUCAGUACAGUACAGAUGAGACUGUAGGGGAUGAAUGUGGGAUAUAAUUCUAGCUUUUCUGAAAAACUGUAACUUCUAAAAAUUAAUAUAUCGAUGUAGAUCUGUCAAGAUUGAUUUUUCUUUGUAAAUCCAGUGCAUGUGGUGCUGGAAUAAUCCUGAGGUAAAUGCUGCCAUGGCAGAGAAAAGAUGAUCAUGAGGGUUUUUUAAAGAACUGGCAGCUCUGUCUAUGCUCUUUUUUAUGAUGAAUAUCAAUUUACUAAUAGAUUAUUUUUUAAAAAUAUAAAUACAAGUUUGGUUGUGGGCAGUUUGAGUGAGGGAACAAUCAGGCAGCUGAUGUUUCAUGUUGGAAAAUCCAGUUCUGUCCCUCUUUUUGAAGCAACUGAGGGAAGGAGUGCUCAAAUGACUGUGUCCAGGAGUUAUAUAAAAUUAAAGUAUAAUGAACAAAAUAAAAAGAUUUUUUUUCUUUUGCCUUUGCUGUCAAUGUUUUUCUUUGUUGUUCUCUUCUGUAAUCCCUAAUUUUGCAGGAACAGGUUUAAAUAAAUGUAAAAUUGUUUUAGUAAAUCCAGAAAAAAGCGCACCAAAUAAUUAGUUUUAUUUACUGUACAAGAAUAGUAAUAACAUUACAAAAAAGAGAACAUGUUUUUCUUGGAAUUGUUAAUUAAAAAGAGUUUUUUAGUGAGGUACGUUUAGAAAAUGAUCUUGUUAAUUUUGGUUUUGUUAGCUCAUAAAAAUGUUAUUUUAUUUUAUUGGAAAGAUGUGCAAUAAUUAUUAAUAAUGAGUAUUUCCUCUCAAUUAUCAACCUCUGUUUUACUUUUCACACCUUAAGUAUGUGAUUGAAUGCGUAUAUUGUGUUUUCUAUCUGCUGAAAGGAGUGAUAUUUCAAUUGAUCGUUUUAUGCUUUUAUCAAUAAAUUGAAUGAAAUACA